This 253-nucleotide ribosomal RNA is filed under the name uncultured bacterium. RNAcentral's name for it is "partial 16S ribosomal RNA". It matches the Rfam family "Bacterial small subunit ribosomal RNA", at positions 524 to 776 of the family's 1533-position model. The record is from RNAcentral.
UACGAAGGGGGCUAGCGUUGUUCGGAAUUACUGGGCGUAAAGCGCGUGUAGGCGGGUCCUUAAGUCAGGGGUGAAAUCCUGGAGCUCAACUCCAGAACUGCCUUUGAUACUGAAGAUCUUGAGUUCGGGAGAGGUGAGUGGAACUGCGAGUGUAGAGGUGAAAUUCGUAGAUAUUCGCAAGAACACCAGUGGCGAAGGCGGCUCACUGGUCCGAUACUGACGCUGAGGCACGAAAGCGUGGGGAGCAAACAGG